AAUCAGCGAGAUUCCAUGGGCGUAGGACCCUCUGAGCCAGGUGUGGGAUAUAAUCUCGUGGUGCGCCGUUUUUUAAGCCGGUCUGAAAAGCGCAAUAUUUGGGUGGGAGUGACCCGAUUUUGCAGGUGCGUCCGUCACCCCUUUCUUUGACUCGGAAAGGGAACUCCCUGACCCCUUGCACUUCCCAAGUGAGGCAAUGCCUCGCCCUGCUUCGGCUCGCACACGGUGGGCGCACCCACUGGCCUGCGCCCACUGUCUGGCACUCCCUAGUGAGAUGAACCCGGUACCUCAGAUGGAAAUGCAGAAAUCACCCGUCUUCUGCCUCGCUCACGCUGGGAGCUGUAGACUGGAGCUGUUCCUAUUCGGCCAUCUUGGCUCCUCCAAAAAUUUUCCUACCAAGAGAACACCACACCUGACUGAUUUUUAGCUAUGACCUUCACUGCAAUGUUGAAUGGAAGUGGCAAGAAAGGAUAUCCUUGUUGUGUUCCUGAUCUCAGGAGAAAGGCAUUCAGUUUCUUACCAGUAAGUAUGAUGUUAGUUUUUCUGUAGCUAUUCUUUAUAAAGUUAAGUGAGUUCCCUCUAUUUCCAGUUUGCUGAGGGUGUUUUUUCUUUUUUAAUCUUGAUUAGGUGUUGGAUUUUGUCAAAUGCUUUCUCUGCAACAAUUAACAGGAUCAUAUGAUUUUUCUUCUUAAACCUGUUGUGGUGGGUUGUACUGAUUGUUUUUGAUAUACCUUGAAUAAAUCCCACUUAGCUAUUGCUAUGGUUUGAAUGUUUGUCUCCUCUAAAACUCAUGUUGAAAUUUAAUUGCCGGUGUAAUGGUAUUGGGAGGUGGAGUCUUUAAAAUGUUGUUAGGCCACAACAGAUCCACCCGCAUAGGAGUUUUAAUGCGUUAAAUAAAAAGUCUUCAGGAGCUCUCUCUCUCUCUCUCACCCUCUCACCUCUUGGCAUGUAAUAAUGCAGCAAGAAGGCCCUCAUCAAAAGCCAGCAGCUUGGUAUUGAACUUUCCAGUCUCUAGAACUGUAUGCCAAUAAGUGUCUGUUUAUUAUAAAUUAUAGAGUCUUUGGUAUUCUGUUGUAGCAGCACAAAAUAGACUGAAAUGGCUAUGGUAUAUAAUUCUUUUUAUAAAUUGCUGGAUUCAAUUUGCUUUGUUGAAGAUUUUUGCAUCUAAGUUAAUGACAGAUAUUGAUCUGUAGUUUUCUUUUCUUGUAAUGUCUUUAUCUGGUUUUGGAAAUAUGAUAAUGUUGACCUCAUAGCAUAAUUUAGAAAAUGUUAGUGCUCUAUUUUAUUGAAAAUAUUGUAACAAAUUAG
This 1308-nucleotide long non-coding RNA is filed under the name Homo sapiens (human). RNAcentral describes it as "HSALNT0075730". The record is from RNAcentral. Lineage: Eukaryota; Metazoa; Chordata; Mammalia; Primates; Hominidae.